This 383-nucleotide RNase P RNA is filed under the name Candidatus Brocadiaceae bacterium. RNAcentral's name for it is "RNase P RNA component class A". It matches the Rfam family "Bacterial RNase P class A". From Rfam's summary of the family: Ribonuclease P (RNase P) is a ubiquitous endoribonuclease, found in archaea, bacteria and eukarya as well as chloroplasts and mitochondria. Its best characterised activity is the generation of mature 5'-ends of tRNAs by cleaving the 5'-leader elements of precursor-tRNAs. Cellular RNase Ps are ribonucleoproteins. The record is from RNAcentral. Lineage: Bacteria; Pseudomonadati; Planctomycetota; Candidatus Brocadiia; Candidatus Brocadiales; Candidatus Brocadiaceae.
UAAGUAGACAAGGUGGUCGUCGGUUUCCUUUAUUCUUUGGGAUGGAGGGAACGGGAGGAAAGUCCGAGCUCCACAGGGCACAGUGCUCCGUAACGCGGAGUCCCGGUAACGGGAAGGAAAGUGCAACAGAAAAUAUACCGUCCCAUUUUAAUCGGGAUAAGGGUGAAAUGGCGGGGUCGUUCACCGACUUAAUGUAAGAGCCCACCGCUCCAGUGGUGACACGGGAGGCAUGGCAAACCCCACUGGGAGAAAGGCUAAAUAGGGAGGGAUGAAGUGGCCCGCUUUGCUUAUACCUCCGGGUAAGCCGUUUGAUCUCGUUGGUAACAACGAGGCUAGAGAAAUGACCAUCCACGACAGGACUCGGCUUAUUGUCUGCUUAAGCA